CUCACCGUCAGCCGGGCUGCCACCACAACAAUUAGCUUCUGUAACUCAUCGAAGUCUCUCAUUCAGCAUCUUUCAUCUUCCUUUUCAAAAAAAGUUUACUUUCCAUGUUUAAAGACACAUCAGUUCCACUACAGCAGCUGCCAUUAGAAAAGGGAACCUUUGUGAUUUUACAUUGUAAACAUUUCAUUUUCUGGCCAGUGGCCAUACCAAGCAAAACUACCCCAAUAUUUUUGAUUUACAUUCAAUUCACUAACAAAGACCACGCCAAUGUGACGUAUGAAAAGGUAGUUUAUUCGGAAAAUGAGCAGUAUUUAUGGUGGAGGGCUCGAGGGGAGAGGGAUGAAGACGUCAAGAAUGGAGGGAUGAUGGAGGUCGUUAAAGGUUUGGUGUGGCUAGGAACCUGGGGGUCAAGACUCAGGGCGGUGGCUCAUCUCGUGGGAGGAAACCAGAGCAACCGGGGGAAACCCGCGCAAACACAGGGAGAACACACAAACGCCACACAAAACAGCCUGGGCUGAGCGAGGUCUGAACCCAGGACCUUCUUGCUGUGAGGUCGCAGUGCUGUCCACCGGGGCAUUGAAAUGCCCCUUGAAAGAGGUCAUGCAGCACAGAUGACAGCCUGAUGCAGAGAUGAUUGCCACGAUAGUCAAAUAGUCGUGCAGUUGCUGUGAUCUGACCUCCCCAUGGCACAAUAAUGUGAAAAAUAUAUUUGCCUGUUGUAAUUUACCGUAAAAAAAUAAAAUAUGA
This is a long non-coding RNA of Micropterus salmoides (largemouth bass), 747 nucleotides long. RefSeq lists it as uncharacterized. Lineage: Eukaryota; Metazoa; Chordata; Actinopteri; Centrarchiformes; Centrarchidae. The transcript has 3 exons. The record is from RefSeq and is a predicted model, not a curated record.